UAGGAAGUAGUGUAGUGGGAGCACUAAGAGUUUUGAUCUCUUGAGUAUGGGUUCGAGUCCCUUUUUCCUAA
This 71-nucleotide transfer RNA is filed under the name Gymnothorax elegans (elegant moray). RNAcentral describes it as "tRNA-Gln". It matches the Rfam family "tRNA". From Rfam's summary of the family: Transfer RNA (tRNA) molecules are approximately 80 nucleotides in length. Their secondary structure includes four short double-helical elements and three loops (D, anti-codon, and T loops). Lineage: Eukaryota; Metazoa; Chordata; Actinopteri; Anguilliformes; Muraenidae. The record is from RNAcentral. RNAcentral also lists the same sequence under 1 other name.